AAUAGUUUCUUUGGUGGUGACCUACUACAUGGAUAACCGUAGUAAUUCUAGAGCUAAUACAUGCGUAAAUCUCGACUCACGAAGAGACGUAUUUAUUAGAUAAAGACCGACCUCGUUCUNCGGUGAAUCAUAAUAACUUCACGGACCGCAUGGCUUUAUGCCGGCGGUGUUCCAUUCAAAUUUCUGCCCUAUCAACUUUCGACGGUAGGAUGGAGGCCUACCGUGGUGUUCACGGGUGACGGGGAAUUAGGGUUCGAUUCCGGAGAGGGAGCCUGAGAAACGGCUACCACA
This 291-nucleotide ribosomal RNA is filed under the name uncultured eukaryote. Its description in RNAcentral is "partial 18S rRNA". It matches the Rfam family "Eukaryotic small subunit ribosomal RNA", at positions 111 to 414 of the family's 1831-position model. The record is from RNAcentral.